Molecule: long non-coding RNA, 1242 nt
Filed under: Gadus morhua (Atlantic cod)
Lineage: Eukaryota; Metazoa; Chordata; Actinopteri; Gadiformes; Gadidae
Description: lncRNA (ENSGMOG00000024453.1)
Source: RNAcentral
AUGUGGCAUCGACCUCGAACCCACGUGUGCUGUUGUGUCCUCUGUUCAAAUCAUACACUUCAGUAUUUGUCUAGAGUAUAUGAGCAUUUCCUGUAUUGUUGUUCGCCUCAGGGAAUCUACCCAGAGGCUGUGAGUGACCUGGUGGUGAAGAAACCCAAGUCGGUGGGGAAGACUGGAGUCAAGUCCACACUCUACAGAGCGUAUGCUGAGGGAAUAUCCAGCUUGGAGUUGGUACCAUCUCAGCUGUGCUGACCUGGAAGAUGUCAGCAAUGACCUGUUCUUUAAGGCCAGUUGCUACUCUACAACAGUAGAUGAAAAACUCAUCAAUGACUGGAAUCUUCCUUGAAGGGCGUGGUGUUGGAAUCGCCUCUUGUCCAAUCCUCUGUGCUUUGCUCCAAUAAAGAAUAUAUUGUGUUGAGGGGCAAAACAGACUGAGUGCACCUACAAAAAAAGAAGACAAAUCAGUCUUCAUUACCAUUCAUUCGUAUUCACCCUUUCUUUUUAUUGUAUUGUUAUUCUGUAUACUUAAGUUUAUUUAUAUUUCUUAUUAUUAAAUUUAUUUGUACUGUUUUCUGUUUUUCUUUUUUAUGUAUUAACUAUAGGUUGAGUGUUGUACAUAGAGUAAAAACCAAAGUAAAAUUCCUCGUUUGUUCGCAAACCUGGCCAAUAAAGCUGAAUCUGAAUUAAUAUGCAACCCCAGUUUAACAGUACGUCUGAUGUUGAUUGAAUUUUUUAACGUUAACCAUGCCAUGUUUGGCAAAAUUAUACAAUAGCCCAACAAGUGUUGAACACAAAUAACAGACAUAACAGCUAGUUAGCACACAUCUACUUACCGGCAGGGGGGCGUGUCGCGUAGUCAUGUUCCCCGGUACCUCUCCGGUCCGUUUGUGUUUUGUCCUCUCCUUCAGCUUUUCGAGCUGACACCCGUUUAUACACGUGUGUUUUUUUCGGGGCUGUGGUGUAGCGGUUCCAGUCAAAACGACUAGGAACAGCUCCAGUAUUCAGCGUAGCACUCCCGUCGUCAUAAUCAGCCGCUGAGAAAUGCCGACUACAGACCAGUGUACUCCCCUUCUGAAUUACGAAAUUAACUCCUUCAUUCCGUCUGAUCGCCACUGCUGUAUUGGGUAUUAUUUGGGAAGUCGUGGAAAUGUAAAUAUGGUUGUUUUUGUUUUGAAUUGGCGCAUAGAGGUACACAACAGAAGCUUUUGUUUUUUGACCGCGCCAUUGUCAAAUAUCAUGGAC